UGACCAUGGUCGGCAGUGAUCAGAAGGUC
Molecule: non-coding RNA, 29 nt
Filed under: Mus musculus (house mouse)
Lineage: Eukaryota; Metazoa; Chordata; Mammalia; Rodentia; Muridae
Also listed under: 1 other name
Source: RNAcentral